This 60-nucleotide transfer RNA is filed under the name Homoiodoris japonica. RNAcentral describes it as "tRNA-Ser". The record is from RNAcentral. Lineage: Eukaryota; Metazoa; Mollusca; Gastropoda; Nudibranchia; Dorididae.
UUUUUGUUAUCAUGGAGGUUUUGAAAGCCUUUUUAGAGAAAAAAAUUUCUCAACAAAAAU